RNAcentral lists this ribosomal RNA (497 nucleotides) under uncultured bacterium. RNAcentral's name for it is "partial 16S ribosomal RNA". It matches the Rfam family "Bacterial small subunit ribosomal RNA", at positions 28 to 507 of the family's 1533-position model. The record is from RNAcentral.
GAUGAACGCUGGCGGCGUGCCUAAUACAUGCAAGUCGAGCGAACGGACGAGAAGCUUGCUUCUCUGAUGUUAGCGGCGGACGGGUGAGUAACACGUGGAUAACCUACCUAUAAGACUGGGAUAACUUCGGGAAACCGGAGCUAAUACCGGAUAAUAUUUUGAACCGCAUGGUUCAAAAGUGAAAGACGGUCUUGCUGUCACUUAUAGAUGGAUCCGCGCUGCAUUAGCUAGUUGGUAAGGUAACGGCUUACCAAGGCAACGAUGCAUAGCCGACCUGAGAGGGUGAUCGGCCACACUGGAACUGAGACACGGUCCAGACUCCUACGGGAGGCAGCAGUAGGGAAUCUUCCGCAAUGGGCGAAAGCCUGACGGAGCAACGCCGCGUGAGUGAUGAAGGUCUUCGGAUCGUAAAACUCUGUUAUUAGGGAAGAACAUAUGUGUAAGUAACUGUGCACAUCUUGACGAUACCUAAUCAAAAAGCCACGGCUAACUACGUG